AACUUGGCGUGGUUGUUGCUGGCUUCUAGGAGCAUGUGCACACUCGUCACCUUUAUCUUUCCACCUGUGCACACUUUGUAGGCUCUGGGAUUAUCUCUCGCGCACUCUUGUAGUGUUGCGGAUGCGAAGGUUGUCGCGCCCUCACAGGCCGGCUUCCCUCGAAUGUCUCAGGUCUAUGUUUAUUAACACACCCCUAUCGAAUGUAUAAAAGAAUGUUGAUUUCAAAGGGCUCUGCCCAUAUAGAAACUCAAUACAACUUUCAGCAACGGAUCUCUUGGCUCUCGCAUCGAUGAAGAACGCAGCGAAAUGCGAUAAGUAAUGUGAAUUGCAGAAUUCAGUGAAUCAUCGAAUCUUUGAACGCACCUUGCGCUCCUUGGUAUUCCGAGGAGCAUGCCUGUUUGAGUGUCAUUAAAUUCUCAACCUCAUCUAGUUUUUUCUGGGUGAUGGCUUGGACUUGGGGGUUUUGCAGGCCUUUCUUAGGUCUGCUCCCUUAAAAUGAAUUAGCGGGUCUUCCCCUCCAUCCCCCUCGGUGUGAUAACUAUCUACGCCUUGGUGUUGGAGAUCUAUGGGACCAGUUUACAACCGUCCGCAAGGACAAUAUGACCAAUCUGACCU
Molecule: ribosomal RNA, 615 nt
Filed under: Psathyrella aff. gracilis TRTC155527
Lineage: Eukaryota; Fungi; Basidiomycota; Agaricomycetes; Agaricales; Psathyrellaceae
Description: eukaryotic LSU rRNA
Rfam family: 5.8S ribosomal RNA (bases 255-408)
Source: RNAcentral